Molecule: long non-coding RNA, 244 nt
Filed under: Mytilus galloprovincialis (Mediterranean mussel)
Lineage: Eukaryota; Metazoa; Mollusca; Bivalvia; Mytilida; Mytilidae
Source: RNAcentral
AGAUUUGACGUCCGUAUUUAUUUAUUACCCCGUGCAUUUACUAGUUUUAUGAGAUAUUCGUAUUUGCUGGCUUUAUAACUAUAUCAAAAACAUAGCGAAGAAGCAGAAAUUACGACAAUGGUGGCAGCGGUUUAGUUCUCACGUUUCAAGGAAUUUGGCACGUCUAUUUUUAGAAAUAUUAAUUUGUAUGGAACACACUAAGUGACAUAUAUUGUGUAUGGAGUGCAUUUAGCUCUAUACAUUA